RNAcentral lists this ribosomal RNA (432 nucleotides) under uncultured bacterium. Its description in RNAcentral is "bacterial SSU rRNA". It matches the Rfam family "Bacterial small subunit ribosomal RNA", at positions 338 to 784 of the family's 1533-position model. The record is from RNAcentral.
CCUACGGGAGGCAGCAGUGGGGAAUAUUGCACAAUGGGCGAAAGCCUGAUGCAGCAACGCCGCGUGAAGGAAGAAGGGUUUCGGCUCGUAAACUUCUAUCAACAGGGACGAAAGAAAUGACGGUACCUGAAUAAGAAGCCCCGGCUAACUACGUGCCAGCAGCCGCGGUAAUACGUAGGGGGCAAGCGUUAUCCGGAAUUACUGGGUGUAAAGGGUGAGUAGGCGGCAUGGUAAGCCAGAUGUGAAAGCCUUGGGCUUAACCCGAGGAUUGCAUUUGGAACUAUCAAGCUAGAGUACAGGAGAGGAAAGCGGAAUUCCUAGUGUAGCGGUGAAAUGCGUAGAUAUUAGGAAGAACACCAGUGGCGAAGGCGGCUUUCUGGACUGAAACUGACGCUGAGGCACGAAAGCGUGGGGAGCGAACAGGAUUAGAUA